Pelobates cultripes (western spadefoot toad) is the source of this 203-nucleotide non-coding RNA. The record is from the annotation of a GenBank genome assembly. Lineage: Eukaryota; Metazoa; Chordata; Amphibia; Anura; Pelobatidae.
GGGUUAAUCCAGCCUCUAUUGGCUGUCUCACUGACAGCCGCUAGAGGCGCUUCUGUGAUUUUCAUUGUUAAAGUCACAGUGAGAAGAUGCUGGACGUCCAUAGGAAAGCAUUGAGUAAUGCUUUCCUAUGGGCGGUUUGAAUGCGAGCACGGCUCUUAUUUAUUUAUAAAAUAUUUUAUCAGGAAAGAUACAUUGAGAUUUCU